Molecule: transfer RNA, 72 nt
Filed under: Paramuricea clavata
Lineage: Eukaryota; Metazoa; Cnidaria; Anthozoa; Malacalcyonacea; Plexauridae
Rfam family: tRNA
About the family: Transfer RNA (tRNA) molecules are approximately 80 nucleotides in length.
Source: Rfam by way of RNAcentral
ACCUCUGUAGCUCAGUUGGUUAGAGGGCUGCACCGGAAUUGCAGGGCCCAGGUUUGAUUCCUGCUAGAGGGC